GGCCUAACACAUGCAAGUCGAGCGGAUGAGGGAAGCUUGCUUCCCGAUUUAGCGGCGGACGGGUGAGUAAUGCCUAGGAAUCUGCCUAUUAGUGGGGGAUAACGUUCCGAAAGGAACGCUAAUACCGCAUACGUCCUACGGGAGAAAGUGGGGGAUCUUCGGACCUCACGCUAAUAGAUGAGCCUAGGUCGGAUUAGCUAGUUGGUGGGGUAACGGCUCACCAAGGCGACGAUCCGUAGCUGGUCUGAGAGGAUGAUCAGCCACACUGGAACUGAGACACGGUCCAGACUCCUACGGGAGGCAGCAGUGGGGAAUAUUGGACAAUGGGCGAAAGCCUGAUCCAGCCAUGCCGCGUGUGUGAAGAAGGUCUUCGGAUUGUAAAGCACUUUAAGUUGGGAGGAAGGGUUGUAAGCUAAUAUCUUGCAGCUUUGACGUUACCAACAGAAUAAGCACCGGCUAACUCUGUGCCAGCAGCCGCGGUAAUACAGAGGGUGCAAGCGUUAAUCGGAAUUACUGGGCGUAAAGCGCGCGUAGGCGGCUUAGUAAGUUGGAUGUGAAAGCCCCGGGCUCAACCUGGGAACUGCAUCCAAAACUGCUUGGCUAGAGUACAGUAGAGGGUGGUGGAAUUUCCUGUGUAGCGGUGAAAUGCGUAGAUAUAGGAAGGAACACCAGUGGCGAAGGCGACCACCUGGACUGAUACUGACGCUG
RNAcentral lists this ribosomal RNA (708 nucleotides) under uncultured bacterium. RNAcentral's name for it is "bacterial SSU rRNA". It matches the Rfam family "Bacterial small subunit ribosomal RNA", at positions 45 to 748 of the family's 1533-position model. The record is from RNAcentral.